Molecule: ribosomal RNA, 254 nt
Filed under: uncultured bacterium
Lineage: Bacteria
Description: partial 16S ribosomal RNA
Rfam family: Bacterial small subunit ribosomal RNA
Source: RNAcentral
UACGAAGGGAACUAGCGUUGUUCGGAUUUACUGGGCGUAAAGAGCAUGUAGGCGGAUUGGACAGUUGAGGGUGAAAUCCCAGAGCUCAACUCUGGAACGGCCUUCAAUACUUCCAGUCUAGAGUCCGUAAGGGGGUGGUGGAAUUCCGAGUGUAGAGGUGAAAUUCGUAGAUAUUCGGAGGAACACCAAGUGGCGAAGGCGACCACCUGGUACGGUACUGACGCUGAGAUGCGAAAGCGUGGGGAGCAAACAGG